Asparagus officinalis (garden asparagus) is the source of this 2040-nucleotide RNA transcript. RefSeq lists it as uncharacterized. The transcript has 3 exons. The record is from RefSeq and is a predicted model, not a curated record. NCBI's taxonomy places the organism in Eukaryota, Viridiplantae, Streptophyta, Magnoliopsida, Asparagales, Asparagaceae.
CGAGAUUUUGGUUCAUUCAAGGAGAGACCCUUGCCCUUGUACUGCAAUAUUCGGGGAAUGUGAAGUGGCAUCAAAAUACAAUGGCCAUUGAUCUCCUUUUCUUCUCCUCAACCUCAAGAAUCCCAUCUCCAAACCCUAACCCUAGCCCUGAAUCCCCAUCUGAUUUCGAGCCAGUUUGUGGUGCUAAUUCCAAAAUGGGAUUAGCAAAACGAAAUAUUGGUUCCAGUUCUUUGGAGAUGGAUUCUCGACGCGUAUCUUCAUGGAGCUCGAGCACAUUCCUUCUAGAUAAUGUCAGUCAAUGUCCCAAGGCAAAAAGAGCAAACUCCUUCAGGAGUCUUUUGCUGCAUUGGGCAAUACCGAAGACCUCAGGCUCGAGCAAUUUGUCCUCGACAAGCUCACCAUUGAAGACCGUAGCUUUGAAUUGUAGGCGCGCGUGAGAGGAUAUCUGCAAUGUUGCGAGCACCCAUAGUGCCCCGUGUGUACUUUAGGUUAUUGCAGGUAUAUACAGCAGGGGCAUUUGGGUCAAAUUGUGCAUCUGAACUCAGUGCCAGUGUCAUCGCAACAAUGAAGAAGAAGGCAAUCAUCCUCAUUGUUGAAGAAGCCAUCUCUAGUAUUUGUUUUAUUUUCUUGCUUUUGUUUGCUAUAUGUCUGCAGGUAAGAAGUAUAAAUAGGCAGUAGGGGAGUAACUAAAAAUAUUACUUAUCGUCUUGAAUGGGCGAUAUGAUGUGUAUGUUUGUUUACAAAUUAGGAACCACAAGUAUUUGUAGCUUCUUGAUCAAUGGUAAGUACUUUUGGCUAUUAUUGAUUAUGUGACGCAGCUGGCCUUUAUUAAUACAAUAAAUAGUGUAGGAGUUUGACUAAGAUUAUGGCUUGUGGGCUGAUGACUGAAAUUAGAUAGAAUCUCGAACUCUCAAAAUGGAACCUGAACAGUCCAUGCUGGAAAUUCGGAAGGUAUUGUCGACAAUUCAGAAGGUACUAUUCACUACUUAAUGUAGUUAUAUUUACUUCCUGGAAAUUAAUAUUCUUCUAGCUGCAAAGGCCAAAGAUAUUACAGAUUUGGGAUCUCUAAAAGAGGCAGCCAAAAUUUUAUUCCUUACAGACAUCAAAAAUAUUCUUGGAGAAACUUCUACUUGUGUUGAGUUACUUCCCUUUCACUUUGUUGUCUUUAUGACACAAGUGUAAAUCAUUUUUUCAAGGAGUUCCAAAUUUAUGUACUGCUCAUGCAAUUUUGUUAAAGAAGAAAAGGUUUCAGGUUAAUGUAUGUCGCGUAAACAUGAGCAUUUUCUGUAUUCCGGUUCCAAUUUGUACUUUGAAUUUGGAUUCAUAAUCAGUUAUAAAUAUAUUCAGGUCUUCUGGGGGAAAAAAGAAUCGAUAAUAUACGAAAUCGGCUAAUAAUUCUUGCUUUAGAAGGUAAAUUUUAUAUGACAGCAGACGUUCAUUGAGAGUGUUAGAGAUAAAAAAGGUUUCAUGCUUUUAUCCUCUCUCCUAUUUAUGAGUCUAAACUCCUCAUCCUGUCAUCCAAAAUCAUUAUUCUGGAAGAAGAAUUCAUACUAAAUUAUCUAAAAGUAGAGGAUUCAUUUGUGCUUACAAAGGUUGUCUACUUCCAGGAGUCGCUACUAUUAUUUUGGAAUUGAUGGUCAGCAUGUGGCUUCACUUGUUCCUGUUAAUGGUGGAGUAUCUUCUUAUUUUUCUUGUGUCUGCUCUUCCUUCUCUGUGCUGCUAUGUGCUGGGAAGUGAACAAUGAUUUGGAAUAUUUUCUGCUCUGUGUCCAUUAGGCUUGUGCAGGUAAUAAAAAAGUACGAUGCACUGGACUUAUGCAAGAAAGAUUGAAUGCUGAUCUCAACUAAGAUGCUUGCUUGAGGAUAACUAGAUCAUUUGUGACUGUCAUUGUUGUGAAGUGUAGAAAGGAUUUCUACUUUCUGAAAAAAAGAAUGAUAACAGAACAUAUUCCUGCUAUUCGAGUCAAAAUUUUGUCCAAUUAAGUUUCAAAAUGCAUGUCCUUUUCCUGUCUGAAAAAAAGAAUGAUGACAGAACAUAUUC